GUGUUGUAUGAAAGGAGAGAAGGUCAGAACUCCCUGUGACAAGGAUGGAAGAGGCCCUUGGGCCUGAAAACAUAAGUAUGGUAUAUGGUUAAGGCAUUGACACUGCUUUGUGGUAUAUAAUCAUAUUUUUAU
Molecule: small nuclear RNA, 132 nt
Organism: Phyllostomus discolor (pale spear-nosed bat)
Lineage: Eukaryota; Metazoa; Chordata; Mammalia; Chiroptera; Phyllostomidae
Source: RefSeq, a predicted model, not a curated record